UGCCAUAUUUAUUUUCUAGCAUUAAUGGUUCAUUCCAAGUUCAAUUUGAACCUGUUUUCUUGCAGUGUUAUGUUCGUUGAGUUGGUCGAGUAACAUUGUCCGUGUAAUCGUUAGUUGUGGAGUUGGUGACUUCUACCUGGAGUUUGAAUGCCCUAGAUCUUUUCUUUUCUCUCUCCUAUUUUCUUUUCAUGUAUUUAGUACGAACAUGACAAUUCCUGUUCCUUUGCAGUGUUGUCUUCCGGCUGAUACUUUUGUCUACGAUAUUCAUAUGGUGAGUUUUAACUCGGUAUAGCAGUUUGUGUUUUGUUCUUCAUGAUUUUGACUGUUAGCUUUGAGAAUGAUGAUAGGCCGUUCCCUCAUCCUAGUUGUGGACACUCAAGAUUGGAGAGUAAGCGUUUAAUGAGCUGUUUAAUGAGCUCUUAUUGGUCGUCAUAUACCAUAUAUGCUGACUGUAUCAUAUAUAGUCAAUUUAUUCAAUCACACGAAUCGUAUGGUUGUUUAUGCUUCCAGUUAUCUCCGAGCAGGAUCACAUGGUGCAUCAGUUGUGGGGGGUUAUUAGUUCUCAGUCUCACUAAUAAGGAUAAGAGGAUUUGAUUGGAUUUGAUUUUAGUUCAAACAUUUUUGGUUGGUGUUCUCUCUCUAGAUGAGGUAUUGGAAUUGAAUCGUGAACACGCUUUUUGUGCAGUUAAACCACGGAGUGUAUUGGAGAUUAACUUCGGGGAUUCAGGAGCAAGAUUUUGUCUGCACAAUUUUCCCAACUUAACUUUGCCAUUUGUUCUCACCUUAUGUUUUGGUUUGAUCUGGUCUUCAUCAGUUUGGCAAGUUGUUUCUUUUGUUUAUUUUCAGCUUUCUGCAUACGUGUUUGCCAUAAUUUGGUACAUUACCCUAAUUGGAGAAUUUUGCUUGAACGCUGUGAGGGGUCUGAAUUAUGUUAGAGCUUUUGGAUUGUUGUGCUGGCCUUAAAACUGUUCUUGCAUGUGAAGUAUUGAAGGAUUUUGUUAUUAGGUUUUAGCUUGAUUUUACUUUACUUCUAAGGGAAAAAUGUAACCAUGAUGGCUUGAUUUCACUUUCUGUUAGGGAAAUUGCAACUAUGAUUUUGUUUUGUGCGCACAUAAGAAACUUCUUUUCGGUUCAUCUCUGUCACUCUUCAUGUUGAGUAGUAUUUGGCAGCAUCUGGAAUUUGCAAGUCGACUUUGAAAUAUUGAAGGACUUCUUCUUGGAUGGUUUAACUAGGAUUUUGUACUUAAAUGAGCGACUUCUGAAUGGUUUUCAAAUUUUCUUCGAAUAGUUUUUAAAGCUUCAUGUUUGGGUUUUCAACUUAAUAUUGUCUUUUGUUCUAUGUUUGGCUCUUCUAUAUUCCACAGGAUCAGUGAUUUGUAUUUGGACUUGGGUAUUGAAGGACCUAAGCAUAACUGGUGGCUGGUUUUUCCUGGAUCUUCACCUUAAUCUCUUCCCUUUUUCCUAUCGUUCAGUGUCUUAUGUUUGUGAGGAGCUGGGAUUGCAAUUGGACUUUCCACGGGUUUUUUAAACCUUCAACCUAAACAUCACUUUUGAGUACUGAAAGAUUUAAGUAUAAUUGGGACAGGUUUUUAACAUCUGCUGCUGGUUUGUUUGGAUUUUCAAAAUUUCUCUCUUUCGUCUGGCAGGAUAAGGGAUUUGUAAUUCGACUUUUGGGUGUUAAGGACUCAAGUAUAACUGAUGACUUUUAACUGGUUAUUAAUUUUUUUUGUUUGUGGAUUUUCACCAUGAUCUCUUCCAUUCUUCUACGGUUCAGUGUCUUAUGUUUGGCAGGAUCUGGGGUUCAAUCUUGAGUAUCGUUGGAUUUAAAGUAUAACUGGGACUGGUUUUUAAAGCUUCAUUGUUUGGGUCUUCAACUUAAUUUUUCUCUUCAAUUUUUCUCUGUUUUACUUUCACAUUCAGCAGGUUUAGGGAUUCAUAAUUGAAUUGGAAUUUUCCUCUUCCGUUCUUGUACGUUUGGGCCAAUAUUCAGCAGGUUUAGGUGUUGAAGGAUCCAAGUGUAACUGGUUACUUCUAAUUGGUUAUUAAAAACAUUUUCUUUUGAGUUUUCACCUCUCUCUUCCGUUCUUCUAUGGGUUCAGUAUGUCUUAUGUUUGGCAGGGAUUUGCAAUUGCAAUUUACUUGGGUUCAACUUGCAUCACUUUCAAGUAUUGAAGGAGUUGAAUAUAACUGUGCCGGGUUUUUAAAGCUUCUGUUUGGAUCUUUUUUUAAGGUUUUUUCUUUCUUUGGAUUUUCAACUUGACUUUUCUCUUUUGCUCUUCUACAUUUGGCUCAUAUAUUAAGCAGGAUCUGGGUUCGGUAAUUGGACUUUGUUCUUGAAGGACCCAAGUAUAACUGGUGACUUCUAACUGGUUAUUACAUUUUCUCUCUAUUUUCACCCUAAUCUUGUCCCUUCUUCUAGUUAUAUUUGGCAGGAGCUGGGAUUUGCUUUUGGAUUUUAAAGUUCAACUUAACAUCUCUUUCUGCUUUUUAUGGGUUUUAAAUAUCAGCUUACCAUUUCACUUUAACUUGGCAUCUCUCUCACUUUCUAUGGGUUUUAGAUAUUCCGUUUACCAUCACUUCGGAGUAGUGAAAGAUUUACAGUACAACUGGUGACUUUUAUCCAACAAACACCACACACAACAAACAAAAGAACACACUAGAACCACUCACGUCUAUUCUACUCUUCUACAUCUGUGAAGCGCCCUUUUACUGCUUAUUGAUUGCAUGUCGGUUUUGUCUGGGUUACUUUUGCAUUUAUUUUGAAUGCAGGAUCUUAAGGUGGUCAGAUACACCCGGUUAGGCAUGGUUAUUUGUUAGGUGUUAUGAUUAUAUGCUUCUUUGUUUGAAGAUCUCUACUAUUCAAUUCUUUAUGUGAUUUGUCAAGUUAGUAGAAUUCUUUGUGAAAAUACCCCUCAAAUUUCAUAAUGUAGGUAGGUUAGCACAGUAAGUAUGAAAUUUGAAAUGGAAAUGAUGCUCUUAUUCAUCUAUAUUACUUUUCCUCCUCGGGGGACUUGAUUGCCUCUUAACUUUGCAUGGAAUUUUGUUGUAGCCUCGGGUGAAUCUCGGUGAGGGAAUGUUCUUGUUGCUAGGGAUUUGGAUAUUACUGUGGUAGCAAAGGGUUCAGGAAUUUUAUUUAUUUAAUUCAUGGUGAAUUACGAAGUUUUUUUUUUUUUAUUGAGGUUUACCAUCAUUUUGCGAACUUGCUUUUCCGCAGUUUGCGAACCCCAUUUUUUGGCUGAUUUCAAUCUUGGGGAAGCGGAAGAUCACUGGCGUUCAGGAGUUGGUAGCUGUUUCUGAAAUCUGAACUCUUCUAAUGCAUUCUGUAAUUUUUCUCGUUUGGGAGAACUGUGGUCUAACUUCUGUGCAGUUCGAGUGAGUACUCUGGCAUGCGGAGAAAAGGGGUGUUCAGGGAAUGGCUGGGGUGAUUGGUGGUUCUACAGCAGUUAUGGUGUUUUUUUCUGUUCUGGAAGCAGGAUAAUUGGUUUUAAUUCUUGUCUGUUGUCGCCCAUCUAUAUUAUUUGAUAUCUGCAGUCUGGUGAAGAUAUUUUCCAUGUGCAAAUGUAGUGGUUUCUGUAGUAUGCCAUGGUUCAAGAGCAUCCCUCAUCUUCUCUAGCAAAAGAAGUAAAAGCAGAACGAUGUUUUUUGAGGUUGCUCAGGGAAAAGAACGAACAUAUGAAUGGAGUGUUAUUCAUUAUUUGCUGGAUUGGAAUUAUGAUUUUCUCUGCUUAAGUAUGGCGAGUUUUCUUGGAUGGUCUGUUAGCUGGAUUGAAGAUCCUGGAAGUUUGGUUGAGCUUUUCUAAUUUGAUGAUCUGGAACUGUUUUCUUGAUUGUUCAGGCGAGAUCUUGAUUGGGAACGCUAGCUUUUUGUGGGUUAUUGGAGGAUGAAUUCUGCUUCUUCCUAAAUCCGAAAAAACUGAGAACUCUCUUUACACCCUGCUUUUUCUGAAACUUCUAUUCUUGAACUAUUGUUCUUAUGUAUAGAGAUUUAGCUACGCUUUUGGUUGUUGAACAUGGCUUUUCUUUCACCGGACUGUUUUCCUGAUUAUUCAGGCGAGAUGUAGAAUGUGAACGUUUGCUUGUUGGUGAUUGGAGGAUGGAUUCUGCUUUUGCCCGGAUCAGAAGAAACCGAGAACUUUUACCCUUGCUUUUUUUUUUCCCCUGAAACUUCUUUUCUUCGACUGUUCUUAUCAUCAUUAUGUAGAGGGAUUCAGCUUCGGUUUUGCUUGCUUUGCAGUGCAUUCGGGAGGUUGAGAUUUGUAGACCGGAGGUAUUGGAAGAAUUUACUGCUAUAAUCGACAGGGACGACUAGAUAUCUAAUUCCUUAAAACAGAACAGAUUCUUUACUUUUAUCCGUUUUUUAAGAUUCAAUUAUAAAUUAUAAAUCAUGCAUGUGAAUUAAAAUGUGUAUUAUAUUCUAUGCAGCAUUGUCCACCUUGAAGCGUGGUUUUGAGUGCGACACAUACGGAGGAUAGAGAACAAGAACAGUUUUUUUAACUUUCUUUCCCUGCAUUUUCUUUCCCAACCUACUGUGCUAGCAUUGUGAAUUAAAUGUGGAUGUGUUCCUAUGCAGUGUUGUCUGAUAUUGUUACCCGCGGGUGUUGAGUGCAUCCUGGUUGAUAUGUUUCUUGCACUUGCCUGGUUCAUUUGUUUAAGUUUUGUUUUUUUUUUGUUUUUUUUUAUUUAAAUAAUUGACUGCUUUGGUUCCUUGUUCUUUUCAUAAUUCUGUUUUUCCUGGAAAUCGGUUUAUGUUUCUCUUUUUUGCCUUAGGAGCCAAUUGAAGGACAUGGGAUUGCACUUUGGCGAUGUGUCCAAGAUUCCGAAAUUGAUAAUUCCCUCAUAACAUAUGCAUGAACUUUUUUAGUAUUAAAUAAUAGUUUGAUUACGUUCUUCUCUUGUUUAUGUCAUGCAAUGCUUUAAAUUGGUUGCAGAAAUCUGGAAUAAUGGAUAGAAGAUAUAUGGCAGGAGGGCUCAAAAUAAUACAAGCAUCAUAAUCUGAUUAACUUCUCUUUUUCAACUAUGUUGUGUUAAUGGUCGUGCAAAAUUCAAUUUGAACUUGGUUCUCUUGCAGUGUUAUCGUUUUGGUCGGGAAACAUUGUGUAGCUGGUGACUUCUGUACCUGGAGUUUGGACGCACUGGAUUUCUCGUUUCUUUUUUUUUUUUAAUUUUUUUUUGCUAGUUCAUAUGCAUAAGUAUGCGGAUAUCAAUUGAAUUUCAUCUGUUCAUUUGCAGUGUUGUCUUCCAAUCAUACUUUUGGCAACGGCAUUCAUGUAUAAUGGUGACUUCUAACUGGCUUUAGUGUUCUCUGUGUCUAACGUCUUGUUCCUGUGCAUUUCAUUUCUUCGAUGUUCUUCCAUAUUGCUUGGGCAGGAGUGUUCUUUGAUUUGUUUUUCCUGUGAAUUUCUAUCUAGUCGUUUAUAGAAUUGUUCUCGGAUUUGUGGAUUUCGGAUUUGGUUAGCUGCUGAUCAAGAUCUUUCUGAAUUUGAUAAUUGUGGGAAUAUUUACAGUUUCACAGGGAAAAGAACUAGGCUAUGAACAUAUGGACAGGGUGCUAUUCUUGUUUGUUGGCUUGGAACUAUGAUUUUCUCUCUUUAGGUGUAGCGAAUUAUGUGGAUGAUGUGUUAGCUUCAUUUAAGAUCUUUUCUGGUAGUUUGGUUGAGCUUUUCUAAUUUGAUGAUCUGGUUCAGUGAUAGUUGUGUUGUUUGAACAUGGCUUUUCUUUCAUGCAGCUGUUCUGUUGAUUGUUAAUGCGACAUUAUCUGGAUUAUGAAUGCCCGCUUUUUUGUUGGUGUUUGGAGGAUGAAUUCUACUUUUGCCCAGAUCUGAAGAAACUAAGAACUCUCUGAAUCCUUGCUUUUCCUGAAAAUUCUCCUAUUCUAUACUAUUGUUAUUCCUGGAGAGAUUUAGGUUUGCUUGUUUUUGCUUGGCUUGCAGUGUAUUUGGGAGAUUGGGGAAUUAUAGAUCAGAAGAAUAUUCUGCAAGACAGGAGGAUCAUAUAUCUAAUUCCACAAAAGCAAUCUGACUCUCUUUACAUUUUAUUUCCUUGAUCAUUUAACUAAAUAUUAUAAAGCAUGCAUUAUGAAUUAAAACGUAGUUUAUAUUCUAUGCAGCAUUGUAGCCGGGUUGUUGAGCACGAUGCAUACAGUGGAUGGAAUCUAGUUUCCUAAAACAGUUUUUCCAAACUCCUUUCCUUUUUGUUCAUUCCAACCUACUGUGCUAGCAGCAUUUGAAAGUCUUUGGUUUCCUGUGCAGUAUUGUCCGAUCAUGGGUGUUGAGUGCAUCCUGGUGAUAUGCUUUUGCAUUUGUCUGGUUCAUUUGUUUAAUUGUUUUUUUUUUUUAAUUUCAAAUUUGCUACUUUGUGUUGUUUUCUUUGUUAUUCUCUCCUGCUUGGAAAUCGGUUUUUGUUUCUCUUUUCCUUAGGAACCAAUUGAAGGGUAUGGGAUUGCACCAAGACUGUGUUCAAUAUUCUGAGAUUGAUAUGUUCUUGUAUUAUUCUUUUUUCUUUCUGCCCCCUAAAUAUUAUAUAAAUAACUUGAUUAUAUAGUCAUUUCACGUUGUUUAUGACCUCCAAUGCUUUUCAUUGGUUGCAGCAAUUUAAAGUUUUGGAUUAGAAGAUAUGAUUUGGAAAAGAAGCUUUGCAACAAUAAUAGAGGCUCAUGAUCUUGGAUUAAACCCGUCUUCUCUAUUGAAUUUUUCUGCCAUAUUUAUUUUCUAGCAUUAAUGGUUCAUUCCAAUUUCAAUUUGAACCUGUUUUCUUGCAGUGUUAUGUUCGUUGAGUUGGUUGAGUAACAUUGUCCGUCUAAUCCGAGUUAGAUGUGGAGUUGGUGACUUCUACUUGGAGUUUGAAUGCCCUAGAUCUUUUCUCUUGUCUCUUCUAAUUUCUUCCCAUGUAUUUAGUAUGAACAUGACAAUUCCUGUUCCUUUGCAGUGUUUGUCUUCCAGUCAAUACUUUUGACUACCAUAAUCUUAUGGUGACUUCUAGCUCGGUAUAGUAGUUUGUGUUUUGUUUUUCAUGAUUUUGACCAUUUGCUUUGAGAAACCUGUUGUUCCCUCAUCCUACUUGUGGACACACUUUCAAGAUUGGAGAGUAAGCGUUUAAUGAGCUCUUAUUGGUCAUCGUUUAUCAUAUAUGCUGACUGUAUAUUAUAUAUACUCAAUUUUGCUUUUUAUCUCAGCAAUAUAUUUGGCCGAGCACAUAAAAGAUUGGAUUCAAUAACGUGAAUAGUAUAGUUGUUUGAGCUUCCAGCCAUCUCUGAGCUGAAUCACACUGUGCAUUGGUUUUGGGCGUUAUUAGUUCUCAGUCUCACUAAUAAGGAUAAGAGGAUUUGAUUUUAGUUCAACAUUUUUGGUGGUGUUUUCUCUUUGGAUGAGGUAUUGGAAUUGAAUCGUGAACAUGCUUUGUGCAGUUAAAUGACCGAGUGUAUUGGAGGUUAAUUUGGGGGGUUCAGGAGCAAGAUUUUGUCUACUAUAGUUUUCCCACCUCAACUUUGCCAUUUGUUCUCACGACGUGUUUUGGUUUGUGGUUUGAUCUGGUCUUCCAUCAGUUUGACAAGCUAUUUCUUUUGUUUAUCUUCAGCUUUACGUGUUUACCAUGGCACACUACCCAUAAUUGGAGAAUUUUGCUUGAACGCUGCGAGGGGUCUGAAUUAUGUUGAAACUGUGUUGGAUUGUUGUGCUGGCCUUAAAACUCUUCGGUGAAGUAUUGAAGGAUUUUCUGUUAUUAGGUUUUAACUUGUCUUGAUUUUACCUUACUACUAAGGAAAACUUGUCUUGAUUUCACUUUCUAUUAGGGAAAUUGCAACUAUGAUUUUGCUCUCUGUGUGCAAAACUGGAAACUUCUUUUCGGUUCAUCUUUGUCACUCCAUGUUGAGUACCAUGUGUUUGGCAGCAUCUGGAAUUUGCAAGUCGACUUUGAAAUAUUGAAGGACCUCUUCUUGGAUGGUUUAACUAGGAUUUUGUACUUAAAUGAGUGACUUCUGAAUGGUUUUCAAAUUUUUGUUGUAUAGUUUUUUAAAGCUUUGUUUGGAUUUUCAACUUAUUAUUGUCUUUUGUUCUAUGUUUGGCUCUUCUAUAUUCCACAGGAUCAGGGAUUUGUGUUUGGACUUGAGUAUUGAAGGACCUAAGCAUAACUGGUGACUGGUUUUUUCUGGAUCUUCACCUUAAUCUCUUGCCAUUUUAUACGAUUCAGUGUCUUAUGUUUGGCAGGAGCUGUGAUUUGCAAUUGGACUUUCUAUGGGUUUUAAACCUUCAACCUAAACAUCACUUUGGAGUACUGAAAGAUUUAAGUAUAAUUGGGACUGGUUUUUAAAAGCUGCUGCUGCUUUGUUUGGAUUUUCAAAAUUUUUCUCUUUCGUCUGGCAAGAUAAGGAAUUUGUAAUUGGACUUUGGGUGUUAAGGACGCAAGUAUAACUGAUGACUUAUAGCUGGUUGUUAAAUUUUUUUGUUUGUGGAUUUUCACCAUGAUGAUCUCUUCCAUUCUUCUACGGUUCAGUGUCUUAUGUUUGGCAGGAUCUGGGGUUCAAUCUGGAGUAUUUCUUCUACGGUUCAGUGUCUUAUGUUUGUGGAUUUUCACCAUGAUGGUCUCUUCCAUUCUUCUACGGUCCAGUGUCUUAUGUUUGGCAGGAUCUGGGGUUCAAUCUGGAGUAUUUCUUCUACGGUUCAGUGUCUUGUGUUUGGCAGGAUCUGGGGUUCAAUCUGGAGUAUCGUAGGAUUUAAAGUAUAACCGGGACUGGUUUUUAAAGCUUCUACUUAAUUUUUCUCUUCCGUAUUUCUACGUUUGGCUUUCACAUUCAGCAGGUUUAGGGAUUCAUAAUUCAAUUGGAAUUUUCCUCUUCCGUUCAUAUGCGUUUGGCUAAUAUAUUCAGCAGGUUUAGGUAUUCAGCAGGUUUAGGUGUUGAAGGAUCUAAGUGUAACUGGUUACUUCUAAUUGGUUAAAAACAUUUAAAAGUUUUCACCUCUCUCUUUCGUUCUUCUAUGGGUUCAGUGUAUCUUAUGAUUAUCUGGGAUUUGCAGGAGUUGAAUAUAACUGGGCCGGGUUUUUAAAGCUUCUGUUUGGAUCUAUUUUAAAAGCUUUUUCUUUCUUUGGAUUUUGAAUGACUUUUCUCUUUCGCUCUUCUACAUUUGGCUCUCAUAUAUUCAGCAGGGUUGGGUAAUUGGACUAGGUUUAGGGAUUCAUAAUUCAAUUGGAAUUUUCCUCUUCCGUUCUUGGGCGUUUGGCUAAUAUAUUCAGCAGGUUUAGGUGUUGAAGGAUCUAAGUGUAACUGGUUACUUCUAAUUGGUUAAAAACAUUUAGAAGUUUUCACCUCUCUCUUUCGUUCUUCUAUGGGUUCAGUGUAUCUUAUGAUUAUCUGGGAUUUGCAGGAGUUGAUUAUAACUGGGCCUGGUUUUUAAAGCUUCUGUUUGGAUCUAUUUUAAAAGCUUUUUCUUUCUUUGGAUUCGAAUGACUUUUCUCUUUCGCUCUUCUACAUUUGGCUCUCAUAUAUUCAGCAGGGUUCGGUAAUUGGACUUUGGUCUUGAAGGACCUAAGUAUAACUGGUGACUUCUAACUGGUCAUUAUAUUUUUUCUGUAUUUUCACCCUAAUCUAGUAAUCUUCUCCAUUCUCCUAGUUAUAUCUGGCAGGAGCCGGGAUUUGCAUUUGGAUUUUAAAUGUUGAACUCAACAUCUCUUUCGACUUUCUAUGGAUAAAUAAUCAGCUUACCAUCUCACUUCAAUACCACACACAACAAACAAAAGAACACACUACAACCACUCACGUCUAUUCUACUGUUCUACAUCUGUGGUUCCCUUUUCUGCUUAUGGUGGAGGGCCCCUCUUCGUCUGGAUUACUGUUGCAUUUAUUUUGAAUGCAGGAUCUUAAGGUGGUCGGAGUAUCCGGUUAGACAUGGUUAUGUAUUACGUGCUAAUUAUAUGCUUGGUUAUUUUGAAUGCACUAUUCAAUUCUUUAUGUGAUUUGUCAAGUUAAUUGAAUUCUUUGUGAAAACACCACUCAAAUUUCAUAAUGUAGGUUACAGUAAGUAACUGAAGCUUGAGAUGGAAAUGAUGUUUUUAUUUAUCUAUAUUAAUUUUCUUCCUUGGGGGACUCUUAUUACUUCUUAACUUUGCAUAAUGUUCUUGUUGCUAAGGAUUUGGAUAUUACCGUGGUAGCAAAGGGUUCAGGAAUUUUGUUAUUUGUUUACUUCAUGAUGAAUUAUGAAGUUUUCUUUAUCGAGGUUUACUAUCAUUUUGCAAAGUUGCUAUCGUGCAGUUUGCGAACCCGGUUUUUGGCUGAUUUCUAUCUUGGGGCAGCAGAAGAUCAGGCUGGCAUUUCAGGAGUUGGUAGCUGUUUCUGAAAUCUGAACUUAUCUGAUGCCUUCUGUAUUUUUCUCUUGCUUGGGAGCAUUGUGGACUAAUUUCUAUGCAGAGAUGUUGAGGGAAUGGUUGGGUUGAUUGGUGAUUCUACGACAGUUAUGGUGGUUUUUUUUUUCUCUGGAAGCAGGAUAAUCGGUUUUAAUUGUUUGAUUCUAGUCUCUUGUCUCGCAUGUAUAUUAUUUGAUAUCUGUGGUCUGGUGAAGAUACUUUCCAUGUGCAAAUGUAGUGGUUGCUGUAGUAAGCUAUGAUUCAAGUGCAUCCCUCAUCUUCUCUAGCAGAAGUAAAAGCAGAACGAUGUUUUUUAUGGUCUGCAUUUUCUGUCGCCCGUGCUUUCACUUUUGACUUGGAAAGCCGUUUCAUUUUGGAUUGUUUAUAAUAUGUGUUUUAGUGUCCCUUGUAAGUAGCCCUUCUCUUUGUUUAUUCUUAACUUCUGACACACUACAGAAUGGUUGGUGCUAUUGGUGGUUGUUACAAGUCAACUUGUAUGUCUUUGAAGUAGCAUGCUUGUGCAGUUAUCUCUCGCAGCUUUGCAGUAAAUUUUGUGUAUCUACUUUUCCAGUGAUUUUUUGGGAUUUGAAAUUUUAUUUGGAUUCUGGAUGGCUGGUAGAGUCGACAUGCAGUUUGUUAUGUGAUCUUUAGGCCAUUUUUAUAUGUUCUGAAUGGUUUCUUUUGCGGGGUGUGUGCUGGUCGAUGUGCAUUGAUUUUGAAUGGGGUAACUAGAAGGUAUUUCGGAGGCUCUGAUCAUGUGCUUAAAAUAAAAGGCCGCAAUGUACGUGUUGUGUUGGUUCCAACAGUAUACGAGUGGUAGAAUGGUUGUGUACCUAAUAAAAUGCGCCCUGGGGGUUAGCUUUUACAUUGCUUCUGAUUCCAAUGUUUUCGGGUGGGAUAUAUGUCGUGUUCGUGUGUGUGUAGGAUAUGUUUCAGGUAUUUAAUUGGAGCGGCAUCAUGGAGGAACAUUUGCCUAUAGCCAAGAAAAAUGGUUUAGCCGUUUUUUCCUUUACUGUUUCUUCUUUCCUGAUUUCACUGUGUAAAAUGGUUUAGCCGUUUUUUUCUUUA
Long non-coding RNA from Arachis duranensis, 11400 nucleotides. RefSeq lists it as uncharacterized. Lineage: Eukaryota; Viridiplantae; Streptophyta; Magnoliopsida; Fabales; Fabaceae. The transcript has 2 exons. The record is from RefSeq and is a predicted model, not a curated record.